GUUCGACUGAGGUUUAUUAAUUUAUCAAUUGUUCAACAAUUAUUUGUAUACGUGCUUUUCUUUUCUGGUUUAUUAUUUUCAUUUAAAUUUCAUUAAUAGUACGACCGACUUUGGAGGUAUAUAUCUGUAGCAGUCAGUUCUGCUAUAGAGCUUGAUGGUCAUUUUUCUUGUGACAGAUUGGUUGAUUAUAUUAACCCCCCACCUCGAAUAGCU
Molecule: non-coding RNA, 213 nt
Organism: Paramuricea clavata
Lineage: Eukaryota; Metazoa; Cnidaria; Anthozoa; Malacalcyonacea; Plexauridae
Source: the annotation of a GenBank genome assembly